UAGGCUUAUAGGCCUCUGUUAAAGAUUUUAUUCUUAGCCUCUUAGCCUUUUUGUUUUUUUGAAAAUACGAGUAUUGUUCCAUUUAUAGUAUUAUUCAGAUACUUGGUUUUUAGAUUCUAUACCAGUAAAUGUUUCUAAUCAUUGAAGAUGUAAGAAUUUAAUACUCUAUUUGGGUCUCUGAGAUUAGGGAGCAUCUGCCAGGAUAUUUUGUUUUAUCAGGGUUACUUCUUUUGACUACCUCUUAGAUUUUGGUGUUCUUUACUGGUGGUGCAAUUAUGUUGUGGGGUUGCAUUUUCCUAUAUUUUUAUAGUCUGUGCUUGCCUGUGACUUUUAGUGAAAUGAAACUAUUUUAGCAUGCUAAUUAAAUUUUCCAAGUAUUAUAGCAUUUUGGUACAUUUUGGUCAAUGUAAGACAUCUGCUCCUUUAGUGUUUACUACUUGCUGUAAUUGAGAUUUCAGAAGCUCUUCAAGCUCCCUUUUAAUGAAAUCAGUUCUAAAACAUCAAUUUCAAUAAAUUAGAAUUUUCACAGUCCAAUUGCUUAUAAUUUUCCAGUUAUUAUAUUUGAAAUUUCUAAAUAAUUCAUGCAAUUUCUAAAUAAGGAUGUGAGGCUAGAUUCUUUUUUCCUAAAUAGAGAGAAAGCAAAUUUUGUGAUUUAUCACUUUUCUAGUUGAUAGAAUUUAACAUGCUCAAUAUGUAUUUAUACUUAUAAAUUACUAACAUAAUUUAAAGUUCUAUAUUAUUGUGAUUAUUAUAUGGAAAUUCAGGAACUGAUCAGAAGUGAGAGUCUUUUCCACAUCUGGUUAAUAUAGUGAGAUUGACACCCUGUGGGUGGUAAAGAUAAAGGAAUUAUUAAUCUUAGAGAAAAUGCUGAAAAUUAAAGAUCAUUCCCAAAGUGGUUUUACUUUAUAAUCACUGGGACAUUCCAUUCCUUAUCAAAUACAUAAAUGCUGAAUUUCUCUUCCCUUUAUCUUUUUAAAAUAAAAGUGUGUAUACAUAUGACAGUGAUGUUUAUCCUCUGCUUAACUUAAUGUAACGCAAAAUAUUUCAAGUUCAUUGUAUUUUUUCAAUGAAGAAGACUGUUGAACUAAUGAUUUAAGAUACAUUAAGAAUUAAUGUCUUGUCUAGAAACAUUAAACUGAGAAUCCCUUGCUAAGAUGCCCUCAUCUUUAAUAACUGGAGUGCUAAGUUGAAUGUCAAAUAAUACUUCUACUUCUAUACCUGUUUCUACACCUCUGGCCCUAUGGGAUGGCUUUUAGGCCACAAUAUUAUCUGUGUUAGGUUCUCUGUAUGUGUAUUUAAUGAAUAACAUUCCUAUGUAAAAAUGUGUGUAUGUGGUUUUAUGCAUACAUUCAUAUUGUGAAUCUGUACAUUGCAAAGAAGUAAAUUUGUAAAGCACAACCAUAAAAGAAAAUAGUGUGCAGUUAUUGAACUUGAUGUAUCUUAAAUGUAAUUUUUAGUUUAUAAAAGGUUCUUUCUAUUUUCUAUGGCAAAGACUUUGACACUUAAAAAAUAGAAGUGAUACUGGAUUUAUUUUUGUAAGUAUUUAGGAUAUUAUUUUAAAUAAAUGAUUGUCCAAUAUGAUGGUUGUCAGAUGUUUUAAGUAAAUAAACUUUCUGAUUUUGUGUCUGAUAUGUAUUUUUAGUGGGUACAAGUGCACAUUUAUUUGCUGCUUUAAAUAAAAAACUUAAAUAUUUAGACUGGUAAA
Molecule: long non-coding RNA, 1705 nt
Filed under: Bos taurus (domestic cattle)
Lineage: Eukaryota; Metazoa; Chordata; Mammalia; Artiodactyla; Bovidae
Description: long non-coding RNA NONBTAT018789
Source: RNAcentral